Molecule: long non-coding RNA, 3174 nt
Organism: Hemicordylus capensis (graceful crag lizard)
Lineage: Eukaryota; Metazoa; Chordata; Lepidosauria; Squamata; Cordylidae
Exons: 2
Source: RefSeq, a predicted model, not a curated record
GCAGAAAAGAAAUGGCCUUACCGAAGAGGCAUCUGGAAAAGGAAAACCUUACAGGACUGGACUCCCGUCCUAAAACGGAAGGCGAGCAUGGUGGAAGGAAUCUAGGAAUCAGACGAUAGUGCUGUAAUGUGCGUAAAAAAAAAUCUGAAUGGGGAGAUGCCCAGACAAUUGAGCUGAGUAACUGGAUGGCUGAGUCUUUUGCUGCACUUCUGUGGACAGGACCCUUUGGGUCUCCUCAAUGAGAUUCACCCCCACCUUUGCUCAGGAGACAGCAGACUAAAGGACAGGUAUAAAUGCUGCUCUUUUCCUCUCCACUCAUAUUGCAUUGCCUGCUACUUGUUAAGCUAAUCAAGCCACUGCCUUCCUUGUUUUGUGUCUUUUUCCCUGAGAGCUGCUGUCAUUCUUACAAUUACCAAAGUUGCCAAAUACCAUGUUUUCACAUCAUGCCUCUGUUUGUGCAGAAGUAAAUGUCAUUUCUUUAUUUUCAAAAGUGUGCCUCUGCAUCUGUUUGCUCCUCUAGGGUACCCUGACUUGUCCUGCCCCUGUGAUUCGUUUGCUAUUUUACAUUUGCAAAGUUUGGUUCUGAGUCAUUCCCCUCUGGUUUGGCCUGAAAGUAUAGGUGCAUAAGUAUAUAGAAUACAUGGCUGUGAACAAGCUUGAUAAUAUUAUUAACCCAUUGUGUGCUUUAUAGACUAUAAGAAAACCUAGCCUGGUCAUUCCAUUGUCUGGAGAUGGACUUUCCUAGUUACUUUUGCAGGGCGGGGGCAGUCUUCAGUGGGGUAAAUGGCAGUUAUCCAUAGGAAAUAAUGGAGAGAGCCAGGAUUUAAUAAAUGAGUUAACCCCACUUCUCAGUUUGCAAAGUGGCUAGCAACAUAAGUUAAUAUACAAGUAAGUGUAAAAUCAAUAAAAACAAUAAUAAAAUAUCAAAUAAAACAACCAUAAGGUGAGAAGCAAAAUGAGUAAAAGGGGGGGGGAUCACAAACAGUUAUCAAGUGUUUAACUGGUUCAGGCAUCAGGUUGCAAGUUGGUUCAGGGUCCUUUGUAACUUCCCCUGCCAGAGUGGAAGCUUAGAUGCAUGUAUUCUGCUGAAUUCAGGAUUUGUCUAUAUGGGCCAUUUUUCAGAUCACCACCACUCCCUCCUGCCAUCCACAUUGUCCCCAUUCUUGGCCCAUCAUUGCACAGAGAAGCCGGAGCAGCGCUGGCGCUCCUGGAGGGACACAUUCCUGUGCUGCUUGCUUCUAGAGCUAUCCUGGAGCAUUAAAAAGGCACAAAUUCUAUGCAGAUGCACCCUCACAUGGAAGUUAGUGGGCUGUUUGGGAAUCACACAAUUUCAGUUGAGAAUAACAAUUUCUGAAAUUUUGCAGACAGAGCUGGACUUCUGUUUCAUGUUGAAUGUUUAGUUCAGCAUUAGCUUUGACUGUUGAAAAGCAGACUAGCUGGAUGCCAUUAGCAAACUAAGAAAGAACCCAUGCAAACAAACAAAAAGAGGGUGCUUACUGGCAUACUAGACUGAUUAAAUUCUAUUAAAGUUUUGAUUCUUCAAAACACAAGCUUUUAUAUGGUGUCCCCCAGGGCUCCAUCCUGUGUCCAAUGCUUUUUAAUGUCUACAUGAAACUGCAGGGAGAGAUCGUCAGGAGAUUGGGUGCAGGGUAUUACCAGCUUGCUGAUGACACCCAAAUUUAUUUCUCCCAUGCCAACAUCAUCAGAAGGCAUAACUUCCCUAAAUGCCUGCCUGGAGGCAGUGAUGGGUGGGUUGAGGGCAGUGGCAUAGCCUCCAUUGAGCAAACAGGUUCAAACAACCUGGGCCACCAUGCUGCAGGGGCUGCACUUGGCACCCCAGCCACACCCCUGCAUCUGAUGUCAGAUGCAGGGGGCAUGGCCACAUUAGCAAAUGGGGCCACACCCCCUGUUUGGAAGUAAAAUUCAACCAGCAUCACAUUUGCAGUGUGGCUGGGAUGGCUUCUCUCUGCUUGCAAAGACAGGGAGAGGUGUUCCUGGUUAGGCUGGGGGCUCCAUUUUUGAGAAGUUUCAGCCAGCGCUGGGCUCCCAGCCUGGCCAGGAAUGUCUCUCUCUGCCUUCCCAAACAGGGUGAUGCCAUCCCAGCAAUGCCACAAAUGCGACGCUGGCCAGAUUUUACUUCCAAACAGGGCAUGUGGCCCCAUUUGCUAACAUGGUCAUGCCCCCUGUAUCUGACGUCAAAACACAGGGGUAUGGCUGGGGUGGUAGAGGCUACCAGUGGCAGGCUAGACCAGCCCCCACCACCCUUGCGUCCUCACUAUGCCACUGCUUGAGGGAUAACAAACAGACUGAAUCCAAAUAAGACAGAAGUACUUAUUGUGUGGGGUCAGAACUCAGUAGACAGAAGGAACAGGUAUGCAGUCUGGGAGUACCUCUGGAUCCAAACCUGUUCCUGGUGUCUUGGGUUGAGGCAGUGGCCAGAGGUGCUUUCUAACAGCUUCGGUUGAUAUGCCAGCUGUGUCCAUUUCUUGAGAUAAAUGACCUCAGAACAGAAGUACAUCUGCUGGUCACCUCCAGACUUGACUACUGCAAUGCGCUCUAUGUGGGGCUGCCUUUGUAUGUAAGCCAGAAACUGCAAUUAGUCCAGAAUGUGGCAGCCAGAUUGGUCUCUGGGUCAUCUCGGAGAGCAUAUCACUCCUAUUUUAAAACAUCUACACUGGCUGCCGGUGAGUUUCCAGGUAGAGUAUAAGGUUUUGGUUAUAAUCUAUAAAGCCCUAAACAGCUUGGGCCCUGGGUAUUUAAGAGAACAUCUUCUUUGCUAUGAACCACACCGCCCACUGAGAUCAUCUGGAGAGGUUCGUCUGCAGUUGCCACCAACCCGUCUGGUGGCUACUUGGGGACGGGCCUUCUCCAUUGCUGCCUCGAGGCUUUGGAACACACUUCCUGCUGAAAUAAGAGCCUCCCCAUCUCUUAUAACUUUUAAAAGGGCAGUCAAGACGCAUUUGUUCACCCAGGCUUUUAAUUAGAUACUGUUUUAAUUGUGUGUUAAUUGUGUUUUAAUAGUUUUAACUUUAAUUUUAAUUGUUGAAAUGUUUUAAUCUUUUAUUGACUGUUUUUAUUGUCCUGUAAACUGCCCAGAAAACUUGCGUUUGGGGUGGUAUACAAAUGUAUUAAAUAAAUAAAUAAAAUCCUCUAUAAUAAAAGGCUUGGGUGUGC